UCCCGGUUGCUCCGGGCAGUCUCGUGUGAAAAAUUCAACACACGACGAGGGUUGCGCUCGUUGCGGGACUUAACCCAACACCUCACGGCACGAGCUGACGACAGCCAUGCAGCAUCUGUGACGCCGCCCCGAAGGGAAGCCGACUUUCACCGGCGGUCAGCGCCAUGUCAAGCCCUGGUAAGGUUCUUCGCGUAGCUUCGAAUUAAACCACAUACUCCACCGCUUGUGCGGGCCCCCGUCAAUUCCUUUGAGUUUCAGUCUUGCGGCCGUACUCCCCAGGCGGUCAACUUCACGCGUUAGCUUCGUUACCAAGGAAUUACUUCCCCGACAACCAGUUGACAUCGUUUAGGGCGUGGACUAC
RNAcentral lists this unclassified non-coding RNA (361 nucleotides) under uncultured bacterium. RNAcentral describes it as "contains 16S-23S intergenic spacer region". The record is from RNAcentral.